RNAcentral lists this ribosomal RNA (435 nucleotides) under uncultured arsenic resistant soil bacterium DGGE-1. Its description in RNAcentral is "bacterial SSU rRNA". It matches the Rfam family "Bacterial small subunit ribosomal RNA", at positions 364 to 791 of the family's 1533-position model. The record is from RNAcentral. Lineage: Bacteria; Pseudomonadati; Pseudomonadota; Betaproteobacteria.
UUGGACAAUGGGCGAAAGCCUGAUCCAGCAAUGCCGCGUGUGGGAAGAAGGCCUUCGGGUUGUAAACCACUUUUGGCGGGAAAGAAAUGGUCUGUGCUAAUACCACNGAUUGAUGACGGUACCCGAAGAAUAAGCACCGGCUAACUACGUGCCAGCAGCCGCGGUAAUACGUAGGGUGCGAGCGUUAAUCGGAAUUACUGGGCGUAAAGCGUGCGCAGGCGGUUGGGAAAGAUAGAUGUGAAAGCCCUGGGCUCAACCUAGGAAUUGCAUUUAUGACUGCCCGACUGGAGUACGGUAGAGGGGAGUGGAAUUCCGCGUGUAGCAGUGAAAUGCGUAGAUAUGCGGAGGAACACCGAUGGCGAAGGCAGCUCCCUGGACCUGUACUGACGCUCAUGCACGAAAGCGUGGGGAGCAAACAGGAUUAGAUACCCUGGU